This 497-nucleotide ribosomal RNA is filed under the name uncultured bacterium. RNAcentral describes it as "partial 16S ribosomal RNA". It matches the Rfam family "Bacterial small subunit ribosomal RNA", at positions 28 to 507 of the family's 1533-position model. The record is from RNAcentral.
GAUGAACGCUGGCGGCGUGCCUAAUACAUGCAAGUCGAGCGAACAGACGAGGAGCUUGCUCCUCUGACGUUAUCGGCGGACGGGUGAGUAACACGUGGAUAACCUACCUAUAAGACUGGGAUAACUUCGGGAAACCGGAGCUAAUACCGGAUAAUAUAUUGAACCGCAUGGUUCAAUAGUGAAAGACGGUUUUGCUGUCACUUAUAGAUGGAUCCGCGCCGCAUUAGCUAGUUGGUAAGGUAACGGCUUACCAAGGCGACGAUGCGUAGCCGACCUGAGAGGGUGAUCGGCCACACUGGAACUGAGAAACGGUCCAGACUCCUACGGGAGGCAGCAGUAGGGAAUCUUCCGCAAUGGGCGAAAGCCUGACGGAGCAACGCCGCGUGAGUGAUGAAGGUCUUCGGAUCGUAAAACUCUGUUAUUAGGGAAGAACAAAUGUGUAAGUAACUAUGCACGUCUUGACGGUACCUAAUCAGAAAGCCACGGCUAACUACGUG